Molecule: long non-coding RNA, 3446 nt
Filed under: Homo sapiens (human)
Lineage: Eukaryota; Metazoa; Chordata; Mammalia; Primates; Hominidae
Description: HSALNT0115927
Source: RNAcentral
UAAGCUUGUGGGUGCACAGAGUGCAAGAGUUGGGGCUUGGGAGCCUCCACCUGGAUUUCAGAGGAUGUAUGCAAAUGCCUAGAUGUCCAGGCAGAAGCUUCCUGCAGGGGCAGAGCCCUUAUGGAGAACUGCUUUUAUGGUAGUGCAAAGGGGAAAUGUGGGGUUGUAGUCCCCACAUGGAAUCCCCACUGGGGCACUGUCUAGUGGAGGUGUGAGAAGAGGGCCACUGUCGUUCAGACCCCAAAAUGGUAGAUCCACCAGCAGCUUGCACCUUGCACCUGUAAAAGCUGCAGGCAUUCAACACCAGUCCUUGGAGAGCAUCCACAGGGGCUGAGCCCUGCAGAGCCACGGCGGUGGUGCUGCUCAAGGUUUUGGGAGCCCACUGCUUGUACUAAUGUGCCCUGGAUGUGAGACAUGGAGUCAAAGGAGAUUAUUUUGGAGCUUUAAGAUUUAAUGGCUACCCUGCUGGGUUUCAGACUUGUGUGGGGCCUGUAGCCCCUUUCUUUUGGCUCAUUUCUCCCUUUUGGAAUAAGAGUAUUUACCCAAUGCCUAUACCUCAUUGUAUCUUGGAAGUAACGAACUGUUUUUUUUAUUUUACAGGCUCAUAGGUGGAAGAGAAUAGCUGUGUCUCAGAUGACUUUGGACUGUGGACUUUUGAGUUAAUAUUGGAAUGACUGACGAGGAAGAAUAUUCCUGAGCAAGACACAGGGUUUUCACCCUGAUAGAUGGAAUCUGAGCUACCUUCAAACUUUUAAGGGGGGACUAUGGUGACCGCCAGGAGAGGAGUCCCAGUUGAGCCAUAUGGACCAGGGAUGGCGGACAGGAAAGUUUGUCAGUGGGGCUGAUGCACAGAUGGGGUGCACGAGCUCCUCACUGGGGAAAUUUUGUGGGGGAAGGAUGCCCUCAUAGCUCAAACGUUCAGCUCACUCAAGAGUGGGCCAGAGCUAACAGCUAUCACUGUACUCACAGCUCCCAGGCCUUACUGAUCCAAUGGUCUCUUCAGAGAUUUAUGGCUCAGCUCCCAGGAACAAAGAUGAUUUUAUGUAAAUAUUUAUGAAAUUCCUCCCUCUUUCCUUUCCCUCCUGCCUCUCUCUCUCUUCCCUCCCUCCCUCCCUUCCUUUCUUCUUUCCUUCCUUCACUCCUUUUUGCCUGCCUGCCUGCCUUUCUCUUUUUUUCUUUCUUUAGAAAGAGGGAUUUAUAAUUCUUUUCCAAGUAAUGUGGGGACCAUACCAUGAAGAAGACAUUCUUCCUUUUGGUCCUCUGACUCCGAAUGCAACCUCAUUCAUUCAUUCAUUCAUUCAUUUGGUCAGUAUUUGGAGUGCUGUUGAUAGGGGUGGGGUCAUAUAGCCCUCACAUCUAGGUAAGUAGCCCCAACACAGCAAUAGGUGAAAUUUAAAAAAACACAACCUGAUUAAAUUCCAAAGUGGAAAGUCUAUACCAGUGUUUUUUAAACUAAUUCCCCAUGAAAAUCACUCGGGAAACUUUUAAAAAAUACACAUUCCCAAGGUUCAGGCCAGAAUCAGAAUCUCUAAUUUUUAGCUUUAAAAAAAUGUUACAAACUUCGCAGGAAAUUUUUAUGUAGCUUGCCCAGUACUGCACUGUGAAUUGGUGUUCAGAAAAUAUGGUAGAUGAGAGACCACCUCUGUGAAGUUGAGGAUGUAGUGAUAUCUGACUAGCGGAGUUGUCAUGCUCACCUAGCAUGCUAAUGAGGACAGUGUCAGAGGAGAGAGCUGGCCCUAGGCACCAGACAGACACAGAGAGCCAUUUACUUACUCUUGCAGAUUCCAAAAGUCAAGACUCAAAAAUCGCACUUCUUCUCUCAAUGCCUGGAAGUGAUGAUUGAGACCUGUUGUACUUUUAUUUGGUGCUAGGGGCUACUGUGGAACUUCAGUCUCCAUACUUGCCUGUUAAAGUUCCUUCUGUUUUCCUUUUUACCCAAAUUCACUUGUGUAGGGCAAUGAUACUACAAGAGCAGUGCUCUAACCCCUGAGCUAUGGAGCCCCUGCCUGGGCAAUGAUAUAAAAGACUGGCCUCAAAGCUGUGGCAGACUCUCGAAAAUUAUUGGAAAAUAACUCAAUAAUAACAACACAGUCCUACUUCAAACCCUGUGUUCCCUAAGAGUGCUUUAUUCCCUCAAAGUAUUUUCAAAGUAUCUGUCAUUGCUUUGGGGUAGGCUUUUAUCACUAGCAUCUUCAUAGCUGACACUUCAUUUCUGGCCUUUUGGCUUUUUUGUAUGUUUAGUCAUACAUGCAGGUCAUACCACCAUAGCAACUCACUCAAAAUAACUCACUUAGGGUGACUGCACAGAGAGUCUCUCUCAGCUAUUUUAGUAAUAACACAAUAGCAACCCACGUUAGUGCAGCUGGGCUCCUUAAAUAUUCCUUCCUAAGUCAUGUAGUACACAUUUUAGAAGCCACAUUAAAGUACCAAAAUUACCCACAAACCGUUUAUUGCUACAGUUCACUCCCGUAUUUUCUUCUCAACCUGUGGGUAAAGAAAGACAUAGAUAAAUUCAUCUGAUGCUUUAAAGUGGCAGAGCUAUAAAUAUCUGAUUUUUCUCUGUGUUUUGAAAAAUUGAAUAGUCAUAGAAAAUUCUUAUAACAGUAUUUACAUAAGUGAGCACUUCCUCUUUCCUUUCUUCCCCCUCGCUCUCCGUAUCCUUCCUCCUUCCUCCCCUCCCCCUUUCCUUCCUUCCUUUUUUCCUUCCUUCUUUCCUCUCUUUCUUUACUAAAUAUCCAUAUUAUGCUAGGUAUUGUUUUAGAUUCCAAGCCAGACACAAAGGUAAACAAAAUAUAGUCAUUGCUCUCAAAUGUCUCACAGCCUUCUGAAUCUUUUGAAGAGGAAAACCUGAGAAUUAUAUAAAAUUGUUUCAUUAACAUAAGAGAAUCUGAAGAUGGCACAGAAUGUUUUGGGGGAUGCUUCCUUGAUUCCUAGUUCCUUUCUCUGUAGAUUCUUCCUGUUCAAGGCACAGGCGUAGACAGUCAUGAGAUGCCUGGGUCAGAAACAUAAGACUUUAAUACUCACAGCAAUAGCAGUAGGCAGAGUAUCAGCAGUUGUUCAUAUCUGUCCUGAGCCCCAAUUUCCAUAGGGCGUGUGAAGAAGGCCAGAUGACACUUAUUCACAUAGUGACUUGCAUUAUAGGAGGAGAUCCCUGAGCUCAGAGAACCCAAAUCUUUCAUGAUGGGCAGUAAGUUUGCCUGCCCUUUUCUCCAACAGCAGGUAUUAAUUCUGUUUUUCAAGGCUGGUCACUAUACAUGGAGAAUUCUUUCCCAAUCCUCUUGCCUCUUACCUUUCUUUUUGUUUGUUUGUUUCUUUCUUUCUUUCUUUUUCUUUCUUUCCUUCUUUCUUUCUUUCUUCCUUCCUUUCUUUCUUUCUUUUUUUUUUUUUUUUUUUUUGAGACGGAGUCUCACUGUUGCCCAGGCUGUAGUGUAGUGGCGUGAUCUUAG